Molecule: ribosomal RNA, 404 nt
Filed under: uncultured bacterium
Lineage: Bacteria
Also listed under: 1 other name
Description: bacterial SSU rRNA
Rfam family: Bacterial small subunit ribosomal RNA
Source: RNAcentral
UCGGGAAUAUUGCGCAAUGGAGGAAACUCUGACGCAGUGACGCCGCGUAUAGGAUGAAGGUUUUCGGAUUGUAAACUAUUGUCAACAGGGAAGAAAAAGACAGUACCUGAAGAGGAAGCCCCGGCUAACUAUGUGCCAGCAGCCGCGGUAAUACAUAGGGGGCGAGCGUUAUCCGGAUUUAUUGGGUGUAAAGGGUGCGUAGACGGGAAGGCAAGUUAGUUGUGAAAGCCCUCGGCUUAACUGAGGAACUGCAACUAAAACUAUCUUUCUUGAGUGCAGGAGAGGAAAGUGGAAUUCCUAGUGUAGCGGUGAAAUGCGUAGAUAUUAGGAGGAACACCAGUGGCGAAGGCGACUUUCUGGACUGUAACUGACGUUGAGGCACGAAAGUGUGGGGAGCAAACAGG